UCGGCUCCUGCAGAGAGCAGCGUAUCGUCCCAGUUCUGUCUCAUCGAAUUCCGUUGUCCAACAGUUGUUCGACUUAAUGCCUGAUCGUUUCAUUGUCGUCCUGACGACGGACGUCCAUUGUCAACAUCUGUGUGGCUUUUAACAGCUGUGAGAACCUCCAAUGUUGACGAACAUUUGUUUUGUUGACUUGCAGAUGGUGUAUAGCAUAUGAAUGCCGAUCAGAAUCUGAGGUGACAUGAGGCAUGAAGGAGCAGCGAUAAACUAUUUAGGGGGGGAAAAGAAUUGAACGGGGCCAUGGCAUGACGACGUGACCGUGCUGUUGCAGGGAGGAAGAAGCUUCCUUGCUCCUGUAUGAAGAGGAAGGAGACACCUCAGGGAGAGUUUUCCUGCAUCGGUGGACACAGCUGCAUCUGUGACGUUUCAUGUCGUUUUGUAGACCGAGUUAGACUCCCUCCUUUUACAACUAAUAGAUGGAGCUUUCUCAGUGGUUGGUGGAGCUGGUCGUGGAAGAAAAGGGGCAGUUUGACGAAUACGAGACUGAGGAAAUUGAGCUCGGCAUGGGCAGAGCUGGAGCCUGCUGGUACUGGGAUCAUGAUAUCAGCACCCAGCUUCCUCUUAUUCCUUUGCUGUAUGGCACUUUCGGCUCGGAGGCCACGCGGUGCUCCUGUCAUGGUGAUGCAGAGACGACCACAGCAGACGGGAUAUGGCGAAGGGAUGGAGCUUUAAGGGAGCCACCAACCGCUGGAGUUCUCAUACGUAGGUCCUAUGUGUGACCCAUGCACAGUUCCGGAGGUGUGAUUGCAGUCACGACGUGUUUGUUGAAAUGCAUAAGGGGGGUAUUUGCAGCAUCAAACAGCACUGGUAGCUCGCCGUCAUCCCAUGAAUGGCUUCGCUUUACAAACUGACGAUAAGUUAACUGAGUUCUCAAAUAGUAGAAAAUGAGCCAAAAUUUGAUGAACAUUCAGUAGGUGGUUGAUGCUGUAAGAUGGAAUGUGAUUCUUGAUGUGAAGCAACUGCAGUUGGCAAAAUUAAGAGAUACAUCCUUCCUGAAGAGAAUAACGAUAUACACAAAAUACCAGAGUGAAUAGAUAGAUAUUUUUGUUGAAAAUUUGUUGAUCAUGACACAUUGCUUUUACCAUUUUCCAUAAUUUGGUAUCCUUGCUCAAUGACAGAAAGAGAUUCUGAUCACAAAUGGUUGGGACUUUACUGCUUGUCGGUGUUGUAGUGGUGCUGGUGGUAUUACUGCUGUGAAGUUAAGAGAAAUUUGUUCCAGGUCAGUCACUUCAGCACAGACAGCUUUUGUAAUGAUUACAAGGUGAAUAUCCAUCAUUCUUUGGCAGGUCAAAGAGAUAACUAGUAUGAUACAAAGUAGGAGAAAUUGUAGAGGAAAUCUUGCUGAGACCCAGAUUGAACAGUUGUUAGUUGGCAAUACAUUGACAGUGACUGGAGUUUGCAUAGAAGAAUGUUUAAUUUCAUGAUGGUAUCUUCACCUCAUCCAGAAAAUACACUUAGUGAAGCAAUUGGUGUUAGCUUUUCAAAUUGGAAUAUGAAGACUAAGUUGUUCAUUAUCACCUUAGACAACAACUGCUCAACACAUGACGUCUAUAGUACUAAUCUUAGAGAUCUUUCCAACAAGAACAUUCUUAUGAUGAAAGGAAGGAAAAUUUGCUGAGAUAGCCUUACAAAUUGAGAUCUGAUGACUAUAAUGAAGCUCUAUCAGCUCAUGACUGGGUCACUGGAAGAUACUGGAGAUCGUUUCUACACACCUAAAACUUUUGUACGACUCUGUGAAUAGUAUCCUCACAACAAUAGAGGAAACUGCAAAUAUAUAGUUUUCAAGAAGCACGAGAAAUCCAGCUAGAGCUAAUUAACACAACAUUGAAUCAGGAACACCAUGGUGAGCAACAUACCUAAGGAGAUGCAUGAAAAGUAUGACAAAUAUCGGAAACAUUAAAAGCCUUGUUUUAGCAUUUUCAGUGGUUAUGGACCUUGAGUCACAAUGAAGCUUGUUGCAUGGGUGAAGAUUCUGCCAGAUAUGUUAAGGUGGUUAAUGAUAUGUAUGAAGUAUAUCUUAAGUAUGUUACCAAGCCACUUCCAAGUUACACCAGCUUAUGUAGAACUAAAGGAGCCCAAGCAGUUGAAUGGCAAUGACAACAACCAAUCCUCAACACCAUAUCCCACAGGCAAUGGGCUUCUUGUCUUCAAUAUCUAUCUCUCCAGGAUAGAAUUGAUGAAUCAGCCAACAGAGUCUGAGUCUCUUGUCCUGUGGAUCCUAGGGUUUGAUCCAAACUGUUGGAAGCUCAACAACCUCUAAGUAUCCUAUUUUAUCCAAGAUGACUAUAUUUUUUGGCUCAGGGACUGGAAGCAGAGUCCUUAAUGAGUAUCAAUCCAGACAGAGUGGAGGCUAUUUUUUUGUGCAGAAGACUAGCUCCAGUAUUCAUCCAUCAUGGCAGAGCCACCCCAACCGCAACAGUGAAAGUGCAAUUCUAGCCUGUCCAAAACUACGUGUCAUCGCAGCAUUGCAGACAGCAAAUAUGAUUAGAUGAGGUCAGUGCCUGUUACAUAAAUGAACUACUCCAUGGAGAUUGUGUGACACACGGUUUUAAGUGGUCUAUGAGUUAGUCUCCACUAUGAGAUUGUUAUGCAGUUAAUUUUACUACCUCAACGAAACAAGAUGUGAUGGGAUUAAACUACUCAAGAUCUUGUUUAUCCAGCUGAUCAAAGAUCUUAACGGCACCCAGAAAAAAUCAUUUUCGACCUCCCUGUUAUCUCGGCAUCCAUCUUCAUCCUCUGUUGUCCACCAACACCAUCACAAGGCCUCUUGCAUGUUGGAUGGCUAAUGGCCUGGUUGAAGACAAACUUAUCGAACAUCCGACUUUGUCUAUAGAUGCUCCAAUCGUCCAGGUACUUGAGGGAGUGAAUUCGUCUGCAUCAUUGAUAAUUACGUAUAACAUAAAGUUGUCAUUAGACCUUUUUAUCAGUUUGCAUUUUACAAUCUCAAGUUCAAAAGAUACUGGGUGUUUCCAUUACCAUUACUAGGAUGUUAUUAGUAUUCUUCCCUCACAUUAUUCAUUACUGACUUCUCUUAGCUUUCAAUAUAGGCAUCAAAUGUGGUUCAUCUUUUGGUCAUGUUCUAAAAUGUCCUACAAAUUCUAAUUUGUGAGAAUUGGUCAUCAGAAAAGCAAAUAGCUUGAUCAGUCCUUUUCUUUUUUUUUUCUCUUUCAGUUUUAACAUCCUUAUUUGAUUUAUUUAAUUAUAAUAAAUUCUUGAUCUGAAUAUUUCUUACUCACAAAUAUUUUAAUUGCAAGUAAUUCGUUUC
This is a long non-coding RNA of Musa acuminata AAA Group (dessert banana), 3319 nucleotides long. RefSeq lists it as uncharacterized. The transcript is spliced from 6 exons. The record is from RefSeq and is a predicted model, not a curated record. NCBI's taxonomy places the organism in Eukaryota, Viridiplantae, Streptophyta, Magnoliopsida, Zingiberales, Musaceae.